UACGAAGGGGGCUAGCGUUGCUCGGAAUCACUGGGCGUAAAGGGUGCGUAGGCGGCCAUGUAAGUCAGGAGUGAAAGUUUGCGGCUCAACCGUAAAAUUGCUUUUGAUACUGCAUGGCUGGAAUCAGGAUGAGGUCAGCGGAAUGUGGCAUGUAGCGGUGAAAUGCAUAGAUAUGCCAUAGAACACCAAUUGCGAAGGCAGCUGGCUAGACCUGUAUUGACGCUGAGGCACGAAAGCGUGGGGAGCGAACAGG
RNAcentral lists this ribosomal RNA (253 nucleotides) under uncultured bacterium. RNAcentral describes it as "partial 16S ribosomal RNA". It matches the Rfam family "Bacterial small subunit ribosomal RNA", at positions 524 to 776 of the family's 1533-position model. The record is from RNAcentral.